RNAcentral lists this long non-coding RNA (3280 nucleotides) under Homo sapiens (human). RNAcentral's name for it is "HSALNT0302198". The record is from RNAcentral. Lineage: Eukaryota; Metazoa; Chordata; Mammalia; Primates; Hominidae.
AAAAUGGACUGAGGAUACUCUCGGAGGAUGAACUGAGGAUACUCGCGGAGGAUGCACUGAGGAUACUCGGGGGAGGACGGACUGAGGGGAUUCGGGGAGAAUGGACUGAGGGGACUUGGGGGAAAAUGGACUGAGGGGACUCGAGGGAAAAUGGACUGAGGGGACUCGCGGAGGAUGCACUGAGGAUACUCGCGGAGGAUGCACUGAGGAUACUCGCGGAGGAUGGACUGAGGUUACUCGCGGAGGAUGGACUGAGGAUACUCGCGGAGGAUGGACUGAGGAUACUCGGGGGAAAAUGGACUGAGGGGACUCGGGGGAAAAUGGACUGAGGAUACUCGGGGGAAAAUGGACUGAGGGGACUCGCGGAGGAUGAACUGAGGAUACUCGCGGAGGAUGGACUGAGGAUACUCGCGGAGGAUGGACUGAGGAUACUCGGGGGAAAAUGGACUGAGGGGACCCGGGGGAGGAUAGACUCAGGAUACUCAGAGAGGAUGGACUGAGGGGACUCGGGGGAGGAUGGAUUCAGGAUACUCAGAGAGGAUGGACUGAGGGGGCUCGGGGGAGGAUGGACUCAGGAUACGCAGAGAGGAUGGACUGAGGGGACUCAGGGGAGGAUGGACUGAGGAUACUUGGGAGAGGAUGGACUGAGGAUAUUCGGAGAGGAUGGACUGAGGGGACUCGGGAGAGGUUGGACUGAGGAUACUCGGAGAGGAUGGAUUGAGGGGACUCGGGGGAGGAUGGACUGAGGAUACUCGCAGAGGAUGGACUGAGGGGACUCGGGGGAGGAUGGACUGAGGAUACUCAGAGAGGAUGGACUGAGGGGACUCGGGGGAGGAUGGACUGAGGAUACUCGGAGAGGAUGGACUGAGGGGACUCGGGGGAGGAUGGACUCAGGAUACUCGGAGAGGAUGGACUGAGGGGACUUGGGGGAGGAUGGACUCAGGAUACUCAGGAUGGACUGAGGGGACUCGGGGGAGGAUGGACUCAGGAUACUCAGAGAGGAUGGACUGAGGGGACUCAGGGGAGGAUGGACUGAGGAUACUCGGAGAGGAUGGACUGAGGGGACUUGGGGGAGGAUGGACUCAGGAUACUGAGAGAGGAUGGACUGAGGGGACUCAGGGCAGGAUGGACUGAGGAUACUAGCGGAAGAUGGACUGAGAAGACUCGGGGAAGAGUGGACUGAGGAUACUCGCGGAGGACGGACUGAGAAGACUCGGGGGACGAUGCACUGAGGAUACUCGUGGAGGAUGGACUGAGAAGACUCAGGGAGGAUGGGCUGAAGAUACUCGGGGAGGAUGCACUGAGGAUACUUGGAGAGGAUGGACUGAGAGGACUCGGGGAAGAAUGGACUGAGGGGACUCGGAGAGGAUGGAUUGAGGAUACUCUGGGGAGGAUGCACUGAGGGCGCUCUGGGAAGGAUGAACUGAGGAGACUCAUGAAUAGUCUCCCACUACUCUAUCAGAGAUAACCACAUUUUAGCAAACACUCCGUUGGAGUCACCCCAUGCACACAUGUGUACAUGCAGCCAAGCCUUUUCCCACGCUAUUAGCUGGUGCAAGUUCCAUCCCUGGAUUUUAAGCAUGGGUCGCCUGGAAGAGCUUUGUUAGAGGAAGAAGAAAGAGGUGUAUCUCAGGAAAAUCCUGGUUCCCAAAGUUGCACAUUAUGUCAGAUGUACCUGUCUUUGACGGCUGGGAGAGCGGACAAGACCCUGCCCCAGCCCUGGCCAGGAAUGGUGGCUGGUGAGCCCCUAGUUGCAGGCAACCUGGACCUGUCCUCGCGGCACCUGAAGAGGGGAAAGGAGACUUGAGGAGAAUGACUGUCCCCAGGCGACCGCCCAUGAACACCUGAGCACCCAUCUGAUAAACAGCCUGGAGUCACUGGAGAGUGACAGCUUCCAUGUAUAUUCAUAUAUGCUCACCAUUAUUUUUCAUAACCACAUCACAUUGCAUCAUUUUAAUGUAUCAUAAUUUUCUCAACCAGCCCCAUCCAGAAGCUUCUUAACCCAAUCUCUUUCUAAGGCCCUCCAAAGGGCUGGAAGAGGGAGCAUCUUUAUUUUGCUGCUGCCAUCAGGGGUCUUGGGAGAGUCCCCUUGGAUCCUGAUUUUUCAGGGCUUGAUACCUGAGAAUAACUGACAGAAAUUUUGAGAACUGUGCCCCCAGUAAUAACAAUAAUUAACAUUGUUUUCAGUACUCUGGGCCAGGCACUGUUCUAAGCACUUUGUACAUAUUAUCUAAGUGACUCUUCACAACAACAACCUUCUGAGGGAGGUACUACUUUUAUCUCUUUUUUAUAAAUAGGGAAACUGAGGCUGAGAGAGAUUAACUUGUGCAAGAUAACACAGUAAAUGGUUGUGCUGGGAUUUGAACCAGGCAGUCUGGCACCAGCAUCCACACUCCUUCUUUCUUUCUUUCUUUCUUUUUUGAGAUGGAGUCUCGCUUUGUCGCCUGGGCUGGAGUGCAGUGGCGCGAUCUCAGCUCACUGCAAGCUCUGCUUCCUGGGCUCAUGCCAUUCCCCUGCCUCAGCCUCCUGAGUAGCUGGGACUACAGGCACCUGCCACCACGCCUGGCUAAUUUUUUUUUGGUAUUUUUAGUAGAGACGGGGUUUCACCGUGUUAACCAGGAUGGUCUCGAUCUCCUGACCUCAUGAUCUGCCCGCCUUGGCCUCCAAAAGUGCUGGGAUUACAGGCAUGAGCCACCGCACCUGGCCCAGCAUCCACAUUCUUAAUCACCAAUUUGUCUAGUUGGCUGAAGAGUUUAGCUGGUUAUUGAUAAUAAGCAGUAUGUCUUCUUGAUCAUUCCUCCUAAAUUUUGGUAGAUUAUAUUUUGAGGCUUGUACUUACGGGAAAAAAAAGAGAGAAAAGAAAAUCUGACACUCCUCUAAAGAGUUCAAGAGUCUCAGAUUCUCUGGGUCCGUCAAUCCUGGGCAGAACCCUGCUGACUGGUUGAUAUGCCACAGUUCAGCAUGCCCUGCCAAAUCUUACCCAUAGAACAGAUGCCUGUGGCGCUGCGGUGGUGCCCAACAGCUCUGAGUUUCAGCCUCUUCUUCCUGGGACUUAACCUCUCACUCUCCACUGCUGUCCUUUGAACACACAGGAGUAAAUUGGUGAGCACCAUUCAUUCAAAUGCACGGUGAGAAGUGUAGUGGGGAGAUGCAAAAGAAGAAUGAAAUAGCCCACAGAAGAUUUCCACACAAGCUGAUAAAUAUACACCUGUGGUUCUCGUUAACCACAGGAGUCAGUGUGGCCCUGUGUGAUAUAAUAAAGAAUAAACCUUUGGUCUCU